This 253-nucleotide ribosomal RNA is filed under the name uncultured bacterium. RNAcentral describes it as "partial 16S ribosomal RNA". It matches the Rfam family "Bacterial small subunit ribosomal RNA", at positions 524 to 776 of the family's 1533-position model. The record is from RNAcentral.
UACGAAGGCCCCGAGCGUUAUCCGGAUUCAUUGGGCGUAAAGGGUGCGUAGGUGGUUUGGUACGUUUCUUGUUAAAUCUAACCGCUCAACGGUGAGACCGCAGGGAAUACGGCCAGACUAGAGGGUGCGAGAGGUCUGUGGAACUCACGGUGUAGGGGUGAAAUCCGUUGAUAUCGUGGGGAACACCAAAGGCGAAGGCAGCAGACUGGCGCAUUUCUGACACUGAGGCACGAAAGCGUGGGGAGCAAAAAGG